GACGAACGCUGGCGGCGCGCCUAACACAUGCAAGUCGAACGGAGCUAAGAGGAGCUUGCUUUUCUUAGCUUAGUGGCGAACGGGUGAGUAACGCGUGAGUAACCUGCCCUGGAGUGGGGGACAACAGUUGGAAACGACUGCUAAUACCGCAUAAGCCCACGGAUCCGCAUGGAUCUGCGGGAAAAGGAUUUAUUCGCUUCAGGAUGGACUCGCGUCCAAUUAGCUAGUUGGUGAGGUAACGGCCCACCAAGGCGACGAUUGGUAGCCGGACUGAGAGGUUGAACGGCCACAUUGGGACUGAGACACGGCCCAGACUCCUACGGGAGGCAGCAGUGGGGGAUAUUGCACAAUGGGGGAAACCCUGAUGCAGCGACGCCGCGUGGAGGAAGAAGGUUUUCGGAUUGUAAACUCCUGUCGUUAGGGACGAUAAUGACGGUACCUAACAAGAAAGCACCGGCUAACUACGUGCCAGCAGCCGCGGUAAAACGUAGGGUGCAAGCGUUGUCCGGAAUUACUGGGUGUAAAGGGAGCGCAGGCGGACCGGCAAAGUUGGAAGUGAAAACCAUGGGCUCAACCCAUGAACUGCUUUCAAAACUGCUGGCCUUGAGUAGUGCAGAGGUAGGUGGAAUUCCCGGUGUAGCGGUGGAAUGCGUAGAUAUCGGGAGGAACACCAGUGGCGAAGGCGACCUACUGGGCACCAACUGACGCUGAGGCUCGAAAGCAUGGGUAGCAAACAGGAUUAGAUACCCUGGUAGUCCAUGCCGUAAACGAUGAUUACUAGGUGUUGGAGGAUUGACCCCUUCAGUGCCGCAGUUAACACAAUAAGUAAUCCACCUGGGGAGUACGACCGCAAGGUUGAAACUCAAAGGAAUUGACGGGGGCCCGCACAAGCAGUGGAGUAUGUGGUUUAAUUCGAAGCAACGCGAAGAACCUUACCAGGUCUUGACAUCCGAUGCAUAGUGCAGAGAUGCAUGAAGUCCUUCGGGACAUCGAGACAGGUGGUGCAUGGUUGUCGUCAGCUCGUGUCGUGAGAUGUUGGGUUAAGUCCCGCAACGAGCGCAACCCUUAUUGCCAGUUACUACGCAAGAGGACUCUGGCGAGACUGCCGUUGACAAAACGGAGGAAGGUGGGGAUGACGUCAAAUCAUCAUGCCCUUUAUGACCUGGGCUACACACGUACUACAAUGGCGUUUAACAAAGAGAAGCAAGACCGCGAGGUGGAGCAAAACUCAGAAACAACGUCUCAGUUCAGAUUGCAGGCUGCAACUCGCCUGCAUGAAGUCGGAAUUGCUAGUAAUCGCGGAUCAGCAUGCCGCGGUGAAUACGUUCCCGGGCCU
RNAcentral lists this ribosomal RNA (1336 nucleotides) under uncultured bacterium. RNAcentral describes it as "bacterial SSU rRNA". It matches the Rfam family "Bacterial small subunit ribosomal RNA", at positions 28 to 1381 of the family's 1533-position model. The record is from RNAcentral.